Molecule: long non-coding RNA, 792 nt
Filed under: Notechis scutatus (mainland tiger snake)
Lineage: Eukaryota; Metazoa; Chordata; Lepidosauria; Squamata; Elapidae
Description: lncRNA (ENSNSUG00000010029.1)
Source: RNAcentral
CUUCAAAGGAGAAGGUUCAUUUUAGAAGUCAAAAUACUCAAGCAUGGUUUUUGAAGAACAGUAAUUCCUGAGAGACCAUAAUUUUCAAAUCAAAAUUUGAAAGAAGAUUAAUCUCACUCAACAUGGAUCCCUUUGGUCUGGUCCCCAUCCUAACUUUGCUUCAUAUUGUGCUCCAAGUAUCCUCGUCUGCAGAGCCUCUAACUCAACCCACGCUUUCUGUGCAGCCUGAGUACCAGGAAUAUUAUGAAGGAGAGAAAAUCAGGUUGAUCUGCUCAACUUUUCAUAACCUGACCAUGCCGCGAAACUUGAUGGUGGAAGGUUACCGAUUCUUCCAAGAAGAUGGGCAGAGGAUCCAUCAAGUGGCCGUUAACGCUUACAGAGAUGGCAUGAUGGAUUUUCAGGCACAAAGGAAUGACACCGGAAAUUACAGAUGUGCUUAUUGGCUGAAAAAAGCAGGCAGGGAAGUUCAGUCGGACCAAAGCCACCCCAUCAGCAUCCAAGUGAAUGCGGCCCCACCAGCUCCAUCUCUGAAUUACAUUAUUUUUGACCGUGGAAACUCUGUCAGCCUAGAAUGCUUAUCUCCACCAGAAGCUAAUAAAAUCGGGCAGUUUCGCUUUGUUACAGAUGAAAUGGUUGUCUCAAUCCUGGCUACCGUCAACAGCACCUACACAUACAAUCUAACUAAUGUGAAACACAAGAACGUGGGGAUUGUCAGAUGUGCUUAUGUUCAAUACCUCCAUGGAAGAAAGGUACUUUCCAGGAUCAGCGAUCCAAUUUUCAUCGACAUGCGAG